This 497-nucleotide ribosomal RNA is filed under the name uncultured bacterium. Its description in RNAcentral is "partial 16S ribosomal RNA". It matches the Rfam family "Bacterial small subunit ribosomal RNA", at positions 28 to 507 of the family's 1533-position model. The record is from RNAcentral.
GAGGAAAGAGGGCGGAGUGAAUAAUACAUGCGAGUCGAGCGAACAGAUAAGGAGCUUGCUCCUUUGACGUUAGCGGCGGACGGGUGAGUAACACGUGGGUAACCUACCUAUAAGACUGGGAUAACUUCGGGAAACCGGAGCUAAUACCGGAUAAUAUUUCGAACCGCAUGGUUCGAUAGUGAAAGAUGGUUUUGCUAUCACUUAUAGAUGGACCCGCGCCGUAUUAGCUAGUUGGUAAGGUAACGGCUUCCCAAGGCGACGAUACGUAGCCGACCUGAGAGGGUGAUCGGCCACACUGGAACUGAGACACGGUCCAGACUCCUACGGGAGGCAGCAGUAGGGAAUCUUCCGCAAUGGGCGAAAGCCUGACGGAGCAACGCCGCGUGAGUGAUGAAGGUCUUCGGAUCGUAAAACUCUGUUAUUAGGGAAGAACAUACGUGUAAGUAACUGUGCACGUCUUGACGGUACCUAAUCAGAAAGCCCCGGCUAUCUACGUC